Molecule: ribosomal RNA, 573 nt
Filed under: Penicillium oxalicum
Lineage: Eukaryota; Fungi; Ascomycota; Eurotiomycetes; Eurotiales; Aspergillaceae
Description: partial 18S ribosomal RNA
Rfam family: 5.8S ribosomal RNA (bases 233-385)
Source: RNAcentral
UGGAAGUAAAAAGUCGUAACAAGGUUUCCGUAGGUGAACCUGCGGAAGGAUCAUUACCGAGUGAGGGCCCUCUGGGUCCAACCUCCCACCCGUGUUUAUCGUACCUUGUUGCUUCGGCGGGCCCGCCUCACGGCCGCCGGGGGGCAUCUGCCCCCGGGCCCCGCCCGCCGAAGACACACAAACGAACUCUUGUCUGAAGAUUGCAGUCUGAGUACUUGACUAAAUCAGUUAAAACUUUCAACAACGGAUCUCUUGGUUCCGGCACGAUGAAGAACGCAGCGAAAUGCGAUAAGUAAUGUGAAUUGCAGAAUUCAGUGAAUCAUCGAGUCUUUGAACGCACAUUGCGCCCCCUGGUAUUCCGGGGGGCAUGCCUGUCCGAGCGUCAUUGCUGCCCUCAAGCACGGCUUGUGUGUUGGGCUCUCGCCCCCCGCUUCCGGGGGGCGGGCCCGAAAGGCAGCGGCGGCACCGCGUCCGGUCCUCGAGCGUAUGGGGCUUCGUCACCCGCUCUGUAGGCCCGGCCGGCGCCCGCCGGCGAACACCAUCAAUCUAACCAGGUGACCUCGAUCAGAGACC